RNAcentral lists this ribosomal RNA (484 nucleotides) under uncultured bacterium. RNAcentral's name for it is "partial 16S ribosomal RNA". It matches the Rfam family "Bacterial small subunit ribosomal RNA", at positions 30 to 507 of the family's 1533-position model. The record is from RNAcentral.
AUUGAACGCUGGCGGCAUGCCUUACACAUGCAAGUCGAACGGCAGCACGGGUGCUUGCACCUGGUGGCGAGUGGCGAACGGGUGAGUAAUACAUCGGAACAUGUCCUGUAGUGGGGGAUAGCCCGGCGAAAGCCGGAUUAAUACCGCAUACGAUCCACGGAUGAAAGCGGGGGACCUUCGGGCCUCGCGCUAUAGGGUUGGCCGAUGGCUGAUUAGCUAGUUGGUGGGGUAAAGGCCUACCAAGGCGACGAUCAGUAGCUGGUCUGAGAGGACGACCAGCCACACUGGGACUGAGACACGGCCCAGACUCCUACGGGAGGCAGCAGUGGGGAAUUUUGGACAAUGGGCGAAAGCCUGAUCCAGCAAUGCCGCGUGUGAAGAAGGCCUUCGGGUUGUAAAGCACUUUUGUCCGGAAAGAAAUCCUUGGCUCUAAUACAGUCGGGGGAUGACGGUACCGGAAGAAUAAGCACCGGCUAACUACGUG